AUGAACGCUGGCGGCGUGCCUAAUACAUGCAAGUCGAGCGAACAGACGAGGAGCUUGCUCCUCUGACGUUAGCGGCGGACGGGUGAGUAACACGUGGAUAACCUACCUAUAAGACUGGGAUAACUUCGGGAAACCGGAGCUAAUACCGGAUAAUAUAUUGAACCGCAUGGUUCAAUAGUGAAAGACGGUUUUGCUGUCACUUAUAGAUGGAUCCGCGCCGCAUUAGCUAGUUGGUAAGGUAACGGCUUACUAAGGCAACGAUGCGUAGCCGACCUGAGAGGGUGAUCGGCCACACUGGAACUGAGACACGGUCCAGACUCCUACGGGAGGCAGCAGUAGGGAAUCUUCCGCAAUGGGCGAAAGCCUGACGGAGCAACGCCGCGUGAGUGAUGAAGGUCUUCGGAUCGUAAAACUCUGUUAUUAGGGAAGAACAAAUGUGUAAGUAACUAUGCACGUCUUGACGGUACCUAAUCAGAAAGCCACGGCUAACUACGUG
RNAcentral lists this ribosomal RNA (496 nucleotides) under uncultured bacterium. Its description in RNAcentral is "partial 16S ribosomal RNA". It matches the Rfam family "Bacterial small subunit ribosomal RNA", at positions 29 to 507 of the family's 1533-position model. The record is from RNAcentral.